RNAcentral lists this ribosomal RNA (491 nucleotides) under Bacillus sp. M16-C29. Its description in RNAcentral is "bacterial SSU rRNA". It matches the Rfam family "Bacterial small subunit ribosomal RNA", at positions 1 to 481 of the family's 1533-position model. Lineage: Bacteria; Bacillati; Bacillota; Bacilli; Caryophanales; Bacillaceae. The record is from RNAcentral.
UGAGCUUGAUCCUGGCUCAGGACGAACGCUGGCGGCGUGCCUAAUACAUGCAAGUCGAGCGGACAAUAGGGAGCUUGCUCCCUAUUGUUAGCGGCGGACGGGUGAGUAACACGUGGGCAACCUGCCCUGUAGACUGGGAUAACAUCGAGAAAUCGGUGCUAAUACCGGAUAAUAAAUGGAAUUGCAUAAUUCCAUUAUAAAAGAUGGCUCCGGCUAUCACUACAGGAUGGGCCCGCGGCGCAUUAGCUAGUUGGUAAGGUAACGGCUUACCAAGGCAACGAUGCGUAGCCGACCUGAGAGGGUGAUCGGCCACACUGGGACUGAGACACGGCCCAGACUCCUACGGGAGGCAGCAGUAGGGAAUCUUCCGCAAUGGACGAAAGUCUGACGGAGCAACGCCGCGUGAGCGAUGAAGGCCUUCGGGUUGUAAAGCUCUGUUGUUAGGGAAGAACAAGUGCCAUUCAAAUAGGGUGGCACCUUGACGGUACCUA